AAACGAGACAAAUGUGAAAGGAAAACAAAUAUAAUGAGAACAGUAUAGUUGAUUUCUCGUUAUUUUACAGUUGUUGUGUAAGAGGCUGUUGCAGUAAACUAUCUCAAGUGCAAAUAGACCUUCAACAUGUGUAAUAUAUUGCGGUACCGGAACACAUGCCAAGUAAUGAACGUCAUAUAAGAGCAGAUGUUAAGUUUUUAAAAUAAAAAUAAAAUUGCUUUCGAGCAAUUCAAAGAGUGGAAUGCCACAGAUGAGGAGGUGUCAAUCACUUCACUCGAGACCAGUUUGAAACCAAAAGAGCUUGUGGAGUGGUAAAACUUAAACCAAAUGCUCUGACAACCAUUUUUUGUCAUCAUAAGCCACCAGUGGGAUGUAAAGCUCCUUCUGAGAGAAACCUGUUGGCCCACUAGAGAAACAAACUGAGGAUACUGAGGUUGGAGAGCCUUCAAAUGUGACCAGUGACAUCAGUCCUCCAGAGAAUCUGGACGCAACAGGAGAUGAAGUCACCACUCUGAAGAACCUAGUACAACAGCUUCGGGCUGAAAUUUUAGCUUUGAAGAGAAAACUCAACUUCUCUCAGAAAGGGGGGAGACAAGAGUGUGUUUAGAAUAAGACAACUUUCUUGCCAGCCUGCAUGGUUUAUUUGGUGCAGAUCUGUUUGCAGUAUUAACAAAGGGGACAUGUAAAGGUAGCAAAUGGUCAGUGGAAUCACUCCAGAAAGGGCUGAGAAUUAAGACUAGCUUGUGGUUGUACAUGGCAGAAAAUAAAUUUCCGUUUCCUUCAGACAGAACCCUGAGAUGUAAUUUAGACCUGGUGUGCUGAGGGAGCUAAUGAGUUUCCUGAAAGUUAAGUUUGACCUCAUGCUGCCAGAUGAAAAAUGUGCUCCUCUCCUCAUGGAUGAGGGUCGUAUCAUUCCAUCAUUGGAAUAUGAUUGGAGCAUUAGUUGUUAUACUGGGUGGUAUUACCUGAAAAUGGAAACAUACAAUAGUUUACCAUUACACAGGCCAUCAUUUUCCAGUUCUCAUGUCAAAAACAUCACUAUAAGCAUUUAGUGAAUCUGAGGCACUCGGUAUCAAUGUUCACUACGUCGUGUCAGAUACGGCAGGGCAAAAUCGAGCUGUAUGGUAAGAAUUUUGAAUUGUUGUUGGCAGGUUUUCAAAAUUAGUCAAUUUUUGCCAUUAUCCUUGUGAUAACAGGAAGCUAAUUUUCCUCAGAGAUACACCACACAUUUAGAAAAUAUGAGGAACCACUUAGUCACCGGGCAAUAAGUCUUCCUUUCACAAAAUGUUGUUGAGGAACGAUAUCUACCUUGUAAUGAGGUACAUAUAAAUCGUGUAAAACAGUUGCUUGAGAUAGACAAUGGUUUAAGUCUUAAACUGGCACCACAACUACAUGAGAGGUGUUUGAUGCCAAACCUUUAUGAUAAAAUGAAAGUUGGCUUGGCUACUGCCCUAAUUAACAGCCAGACUGCAGCAGCCAUUGAGUAUGGUGUCAGGACAGAGAAACUGCAGAAAAAUGCUUUAACCACAGCACGGUUUCUAAAGCACGUUCAUAAGUGGUUUCGCCUCAUGACAUGUAGAGCUCCAGUUAUGGCUCUGAGUCAUUCUGAUGAACAAACAUACAGUGAGGCUCUCUGUCAUCUGGAGGACACUCUGUGUUUAUUUGAAAACUUGAAAAUUGGCCUGAAGGGUGCCUGGAAACCAGUUCAGUCUUUGUAGUUUUGUCAACUGUAGGUAUUUUGGAAUUGCAGGACACAUUCAUGAAUGAGAAGAAUUUUAAAUUUCUGCUGACAAGUAGAUUUGCACAAGAUGCUUUAGGAAAUCUGUUUUCAAUGGUCUUCUUCAAAAAUCCAGUAUCAGCACCAUCAGAACUGAAAACAGCACUGAUGAUUGUUACUCUUUCUUAAUUCUUUAUUUCUACCACUGAUAAUGAAAAUUAAGACAGUAGAUUCCUGGCAGAAUUAGUGGGGUAAUUUGUAAGUGAAGAUGAGGGUAAGUGUGCUGAGGAAGUUGACGAGCCACUUGUAACAUGGCGUGUGAUGAUGAGCACCAGUCUCUCUACUAUUUAUGUUGUCACAGUGUUAGGCAAGCUAUGAAGCGCCUUGCACUUUGGAAAUUUUGCGAGGAGAGCCUAAUCGCAUCUAAAGAAAAUCCCUGUACGUCUGUGAACAUGCUUUUACAUCUGAAGUCCUUUACAGAUACCUCACUUAUUCAGCCACCAAGUGAGGUUUUCAGUGUAUUGCAAAUGGCAAAAGUUCAUUUGAGAAGCAACAAGAAGAAGUUACUCACAAGUGAAUUUUUGGUCUCUGAUAUAGCCACUUCUGUGUUUGCAUCAGUGGAGGAGAAAGUAGUUUUCCCAGCCAGCCACUUUAUACAGAAGAAAAUAAUACACUUUGUUGGCAACAAGAGUACAUAUGCUUCUAAAUGAGGCAAAUAAAAGAUACCAGAGUGUAGUGACACAGGGCAGUAGAAGCUUGGCCAUGAGAAAAUUAUUGCAGAAUCUGCGACUUCCAGAUUCACUUUUUACUAAAUAAUUUGGAAAAUUGACAUUGAAACUUCUUAAG
Molecule: long non-coding RNA, 2563 nt
Filed under: Schistocerca americana (American grasshopper)
Lineage: Eukaryota; Metazoa; Arthropoda; Insecta; Orthoptera; Acrididae
Description: uncharacterized LOC124553858, transcript variant X2
Source: RNAcentral